RNAcentral lists this long non-coding RNA (817 nucleotides) under Mytilus galloprovincialis (Mediterranean mussel). The record is from RNAcentral. Lineage: Eukaryota; Metazoa; Mollusca; Bivalvia; Mytilida; Mytilidae.
GCCGGGAUUUAAAAUACAAUCAGUAAAAGUCUUGGUUUUUAAUGAUAUUUAAACGUAAUCGUAAGCGCGCCGAUGACUUAUGGUUUAUCUAAUAAACAUCCGAUAAUAAGAAGAUAAGACAGACAGACGUGCAAUUGUACACAUUCAUGAGAUAAAUUUUCUAUGUUAAACGUAUAUAUUCGAAUUAUUUUAGUAGACAACCAAAAAAGUUAUAAAUUUAUUAAUUAAUGCAUUUUCGGACUGAUAUAUGAGGUGAACAAAUUAAAGUACAAUAAUCUGUAAAGACAAUAUGUUGGUGUACUCUUAUUGACCUUUUACUAUCUCUGCUUUGACUAGAUUUAUACGAUGUGUGUAUUCACGGUUCUGUGGCAAAUUGAAUACUCUUAGAUGGCUUGUUGAAAGGUAAAUUGUUAUUUGCACUUCGGUAUUUAACCACGCCUCUAGGGCACACCUUGCCAGGUGUGACUGUCUAUUCGGAUCAGUGGAUUAUAAAACAAGGGAGCAUUCAAUAUACACAUCUAUAAUACUAAUUCAAGUUUCAAGUUUGUUACAAAUAAAAAUAGAUCGCCGUGGAAUUAUUUAAUUAUAUUUGCUGUAUCAUUUAUUUCAAUUCAAAUAAAUUAAUUUACUAAGUAAUAAAAUUUAAACAAUUUUCGGUUAAAGACGGGAAACUUAAUUCAUGUGUCAGAAUGAAAUGAUAUACACCUCUUGUCCUUGAUGUAUGUCUCAUUAAAAAGGGGGAAUUAGAAAUAGCUUUACCAAAGCAUUUUGAUUUUCUUUAUUAGGCAAAAAAAUGUACGAGAACACUUACAUUUAG